Molecule: ribosomal RNA, 492 nt
Filed under: uncultured bacterium
Lineage: Bacteria
Description: partial 16S ribosomal RNA
Rfam family: Bacterial small subunit ribosomal RNA
Source: RNAcentral
AGUGAACGCUGGCGGUAGGCCUAACACAUGCAAGUCGAACGGCAGCACAGUAAGAGCUUGCUCCUACGGGUGGCGAGUGGCGGACGGGUGAGGCAUACAUCGGAAUCUACUUUUUCGUGGGGGAUAACGUAGGAAAACUUACGCUACUACCGCAUACGACCUACGGGUGAAAGCAGGGGAUCUUCGCACCUUGCGCGAUUGAAUGAGCCGACGUCGGAUUAGCUAGUUGGCGGGGUAAAGGCCCACCAAGGCGACGAUCCGUAGCUGGUCUGAGAGGAUGAUCAGCCACACUGGAACUGAGACACGGUCCAGACUCCUACGGGAGGCAGCAGUGGGGAAUAUUGGACAAUGGGCGAAAGCCUGAUCCAGCCAUACCGCGUGGGUGAAGAAGGUCUUCGGGUUGUAAAGCCCUUUUGUUGGGAAAGAAAAGCAGCAGAUUAAUACCCCGCUGUUCUGACGGUACCCAAAGAGUAAGCACCGGCUAACUUCGUG